AAGUCGUAACAAGGUUUCCGUAGGUGAACCUGCGGAAGGAUCAUUAUCACGUAUCCACGUAUAAACCAUUGUGAACCGUUUACUUACCUUUGCAAGAGUUUGGAGUUUUUUGGUUUCGGCCGAGAAACGAAAGACGAUUGCAAAGUGUAUUACUUUAUUAACCAUUUUAACCAAACAUUAUAACUUUUGAACUAACUUUAUUUCUUACUCUUUCGGGAGAAGAAAUUCAUUACGAAACAAAGAACAACUCUUAGCAACGGAUAUCUUGGUUCUC
RNAcentral lists this unclassified non-coding RNA (274 nucleotides) under fungal sp. RNAcentral's name for it is "partial internal transcribed spacer region". The stretch from base 1 to 46 matches the Rfam family "Eukaryotic small subunit ribosomal RNA", at positions 1786 to 1831 of the family's 1831-position model. Lineage: Eukaryota; Fungi. The record is from RNAcentral.